Molecule: small RNA, 746 nt
Filed under: Pan troglodytes (chimpanzee)
Lineage: Eukaryota; Metazoa; Chordata; Mammalia; Primates; Hominidae
Description: retained intron
Source: RNAcentral
CAGCGACCUGUUCGCCAGCUGCAGGAAGGGGGAUGUGGGCCGAGUGCGGUACCUGCUGGAGCAGCGAGACGUGGAGGUGAAUGUGCGGGACAAGUGGGACAGCACCCCCUUGUACUAUGCCUGCUUGUGUGGGCACGAGGAGCUGGUACUCUACCUUCUGGCCAAUGGAGCCCGCUGCGAGGCCAACACCUUCGAUGGUGAGCGCUGCCUCUAUGGGGCACUGAGUGACCCCAUCCGCCGGGCUCUACGUGAUUACAAGCAGGUCACGGCUUCCUGCAGGAGGCGGGAUUACUAUGACGACUUCUUGCAGCGGCUUCUAGAGCAGGGCAUCCACAGUGACGUGGUCUUUGUAGUACACGGGAAGCCAUUCCGGGUGCAUCGCUGCAUCCUGGGUGCACGUAGUGCCUACUUUGCGAACAUGCUGGACACCAAAUGGAAGGGCAAGAGUGUCGUGGUUCUCAGGCACCCACUGAUCAACCCCGUGGCCUUUGGGGCCCUGCUGCAGUACCUGUACACAGGUGACCCCCUGGGUCCAGGGUAGGAGGAAAGGGAGUGGGCCGUCCUUCUGGACAGCAGUACACCUAGGUGUGGCUGGGCUGACCUUUCACCUCUAGACACUUCAUGGUCCCCCCAGGGUGGUUCCAGCUGCCUCUCGGGUUGGGUUGCAAGAGAGAGGACUAGUGUGCCUGCUCAGGAAGAGCUUGUCCCACCCACAUGCUGAGGCCCUCCCAUCUGUUCCCUGGGGC